RNAcentral lists this ribosomal RNA (433 nucleotides) under uncultured bacterium. RNAcentral describes it as "partial 16S ribosomal RNA". It matches the Rfam family "Bacterial small subunit ribosomal RNA", at positions 29 to 507 of the family's 1533-position model. The record is from RNAcentral.
AACGAACGCUGGCGGCAUGCCUAACACAUGCAAGUCGAACGAGACCUUCGGGUCUAGUUGCGCACGGGUGCGUAACGCGUGGGAACCUGCCCUUAGGUUCGGAAUAACUCCCCGAAAGGGGUGCUAAUACCGGAUAAUGUCUUCGGACCAAAGAUUUAUCGCCUUUGGAUGGGCCCGCGUUGGAUUAGCUAGUUGGUAGGGUAAAAGCCUACCAAGGCGACGAUCCAUAGCUGGUUUGAGAGGAUGAUCAGCCACACUGGGACUGAGACACGGCCCAGACUCCUACGGGAGGCAGCAGUGGGGAAUAUUGGACAAUGGGCGAAAGCCUGAUCCAGCAAUGCCGCGUGAGUGAUGAAGGCCUUAGGGUUGUAAAGCUCUUUUACCCGGGAUGAUAAUGACAGUACCGGGAGAAUAAGCUCCGGCUAACUCCGUG